Molecule: ribosomal RNA, 828 nt
Filed under: Triticum aestivum (bread wheat)
Lineage: Eukaryota; Viridiplantae; Streptophyta; Magnoliopsida; Poales; Poaceae
Description: partial small subunit ribosomal RNA
Source: RNAcentral
AUGAUGAGCGGCAACAACCAGCAGCAGCAGUCGGCGGCGGAGGAGGAGCAGGAGCUAGCGCGGAAGCACGCGGCAGCGGUGGCUACGUCGCGGCAAUGGUCGUCGCAGACGGAGUCACGGAUAGUGCGCGUGUCGCGCGUCUUCGGCGGCAAGGACCGCCACAGCAAGGUGAAGACCGUCAAGGGUCUCCGCGACCGGCGCGUGCGGCUGUCCGUGCAGACGGCGAUCCAGCUCUACGACCUGCAGGACCGGCUGGGCCUUAACCAGCCCAGCAAGGUCGUCGACUGGCUGCUCAACGCGGCCCGCCACGAGAUCGACAAGCUGCCGCCGCUCCAGUUCCCGCCGCACCAGGUCGACCUCAUGGACCACAUGAUGACCUCCUCCUCCAUGCCGCUCAUGCCGCACGUCGAUGACAAGUUCUGUCACUUCGCGUCCACCCUCGCCGGAGAUGGUGGCGUCAAGGCCGGGGCCGACGCAGACGGCGGUGGAGCUCACCACAACAUGGGGAGGUUCGGCUACCACCGGUUCAUGGGGCUCAACAACAACCUCGGACUGGUCAACAGCGGGAUACCAUACAAUUUCACCGGCGAGUCAUGGAAUAACAGCAGUGUGCACCAGAGCGGCGGCGCUGGCUCGGCGCAGGUCUCGAUCGCUGCCGCCGCCGCGGCUCACCACUCGGCAUUCCCAUCGUUACUCUCCUUGGCUCCAAGGUCGCAUCAGCUGGUUUACUACUCGUCCGAGGCCGAUCAGUUCCCAGUUGAUGACCUGGGCUCCCAAAGCUUAUCCUUGAGCUCGGCGAGAGCUUUCCAUGACCAGACAGGAAGCUAG